AAAGAGAUGGAUAAUGGAGUACGUGACUGUUUGACUUUUUUCAUGAUCGAAACUUCUCGGCGAUCUUUUGUUUACAUUUUGGAAAAUAUCUUUUAUCAUUAUGAAGAAAGGAAAUUGGCUUAUUUUGAAUUCGGCUUUUUCUUAGUUUAAGGUUAUUGUACUUUUAAUUGCUGAUUUGUUUCUUAUGUACUUUAUUCGACGACGUUGACACAUCUGUUGGCUGAUUCCACUAUAAUGACUUGACGCUACAGGCAUUGUAACGAUUAAAGUAGGUUAAUGUUUGUCAGAGACAUCUCAUCCUAUCUAAACAUUUCGUAUUUAGUCUGCUCAUUUGGUUAACCUUUUACUGUACUUAGUAUUUGACCGUUACACAUUCGCUUUUCUCACGUGCUUUGGUUUUUGAGAUGUUUGCAACGCACGCAACUUCAAAUAUCUUUAUCUUUGACAUUCAUUAUUAUUAAGAGUUAAUCGAUACAAUAAAUAAAACUUUGAAUGAUAUUAUGGAAUUCCGACGUGUGGAAAUUUCUCCAUCUUUGGCAGAUACACGUCUACUGCUCUACAGUUGAAGGGAAAUCACUUCGAAAAGGGUUUUCUGCCUCAAAUCCUGACCGGGUAACCCCACAUGCAUUAAAGAAUUCGUGCUGAAGAGCUGUUUUGGCCUUUACUCGUUUCGAUGCUAGAUAAUUGUUAGCCAUUCAAUUUUUAAUUAAUUCCUGCCAUGUUGUUUUAUACAACUGGAGUUUGGAAAUCAAGAUACUAGUUUCAGAGUGGAUAGCCCCAGGCUUCGUUAAAAAACCUAAAAAGCAUCAUAAAAGAAGACAAUCCAUGAAUGAAACAAUAAAAAAAAGGCCAUUUCGGUUCGCGUUUUUUUUUGUCAUUUAAGAAUUUUCCUCCUAGUCCACUUCCUAGUAUUUUGUUUUUGGGAUUUGCACGUACGAUGUAAUUCUAAUAACUUGUCCAACAAGUCAAUGGCUAAAGCCACUUGAUAAUCUGAGCUUGUCUCUAAAAUUAAAUUCUCAUCAUUCUUCGUAAUGCUAGCAAUUAGGUCUAGCCAAUUAUGCUUUUGAUCUAGUAGAGUCGGAAUGUUAUCUGACCAAAUUUGUCCUGAGAGAAAUACAAGUUAGCACCUCAAAAGUUGUCUCAAAAAGAUUUGAAGCAUUGGUUAGAAAACGAUUUCUCUCUUCGUUUUUUCAACUUUUACGCUCAAGUGUUUAAUAACUACUUACCAUGUAAUAAUGCGCAGUUUGACAUGCCAUUUCUUCCAAAGAUAUGUGCUAAUUCUACGAUUGCAUCGAUAUCAUCUUCACAGCGGAAAAAAGGAUAUCGAUGUGUUAAAAAACACAACAAAAUGACUCCCACUGACCACACAUCAAUUGAGGAUGUUUGAUUUUGGCAUCGAAACAAUACCUCAGGCGCUCGAAAUCCUCUUGUUCCGGCUCGGUCAGCACGUUUUGUAGGCCUUGGAUCAUGUAGCAAGUAACCCUCUGGAGGAUCUGCUAUCGUUUUCUCAAAUGGAAAAUAAUCGUAAUAUUUUCCUUCUUGCUUCAGUUUUCUCAAUUUAUCGACACAGCAAUUUUCUGUAGGUGCAUCUGCCUCUUGCCAUUGAGCUAAUCCAAAGUCAAGUAUGACUCCCCUUUGGGUGUAAGGAUUCCAAGCAAAGUUACCUGGUUUGAUAUCUCGAUGAAUUAUGCCCUUUGCAUCUAUAUGUGCCAACCCUUUCAAGAGGUCUCUUAAGUACGCACCAAUUUCUGGAAGAGAAUAUUUCAUAUAGAAGUCCCGGAACUCUGCAUGUUGUAUAAACGGUAGUACAAUUAACACUUGAUCUUGAUGUCUUACAGCAGUUAUCAUAUUUAGUACACAAUCACUGCCUCGUAGUUCAUGUAGCAUCUCAAGUUCAGUUUGGAUUCUUGAGGGAAGAACGGUGGCAUAAAUUCUUUUCAAUGCAACAAAAUGGUUUUUUGGUCUCUUGGUUUUGUCAUGGGGCAUCUGAUCUUCUAUUUGAGAUGAUAUCCAGUAGGAGUUAUCGUAGCUAUCGAAAUGUCUAUCCACCGCUUUAAAGACGCUGCUAAAACUUCCUGCUCCUACUAACUUAACCACAUGAUAGUCUUCUUCAAUGGUAGGGAAUGCUUGCACCAAUUUAGCAAUUUCUGGUCGAUCUUCUCGAUCUACAUCACUGGCGUAUACACCUGAAUUUCCGAAAGGUAAUAGCAUGGAAAGCAUUUCCUGUUUUAAUUUUUAUUUUAGUCGCCUUUUGUUUGGUAAAGUGCGGGCUGUUAGAUGAGGCACAAUUUUCAUUAAUAGUUUGUUUGUUUGUUUACUUCGCCAAACCCAAAUAUUUCCCUCUAAGCAAAACUUACUUUUUGUUCCCUAAGCUUUGCUAUAUCGGCCCAAAGCAAAUGAAAAUGUAAACAAAUGAUGCCAAUGAAGCACUCCAAUUUGUUUAUACAAAUUUUCAAUCCAUGAUCAUCAUUAAACGGUAGACAGUGUCAAAGUAAAUUACUAGACCAGCUAGUAAUUUAAAUUACAUAUAUUUCCUUUAUAAAAAAAUUUACUUUAGCUCUAUAACUGGUAACAUUUAGAGUCCUAUUUAGAACGAAAGCAUAAUUUAUCAAAAUUUUUUAGUAUGUAAACAAUAAACAGCACACCUGUCAUAACCAAUUUUUGAGAUUUCUUCA
Molecule: long non-coding RNA, 2675 nt
Filed under: Schizosaccharomyces pombe (fission yeast)
Lineage: Eukaryota; Fungi; Ascomycota; Schizosaccharomycetes; Schizosaccharomycetales; Schizosaccharomycetaceae
Source: RNAcentral